UUGUCCCAGAAAGUUGUUUUUUAUACACCGUUAGCAUUGAAAUUAGACUUGAUAUUAGAUGAAAUGGUAGCAUGACUGGAUGUUUGAUGCAAACUGAAAUUCAACACCAAUUUGUGAGUGCAAGUAGACUAUGUACAUCUCUUUGUCCCUGAUUUCUCCUUAUUUAUUUGAACCAUUGGUACCAUCAGGUUUGCCUCCUUACUUGCUUGUGGUUUUAUGAGACAGCAUGGGAUGUUAGGAAGGUGGAUAAUGCCAUCUCCUUCUCCCAUGUUAAUUUCUUCUGUAGAUCAUUUUUUUGUUCGUCCGGUUGAGCAUAGUUUGAGGGUUCACUACAAAAUACAAAUAUUUUAGAAAUGAUAUAAUGAUGCUUAAGCUCUGGCAUGUAGACCAGCUUGACCACCAUAAGAGAAAAUGGUAGGGGCGAAUAUGUCAUUGUUUAGUUUUAGACAAAUGAAAAGCUUGAUUGUUGCCAAGUCAAAAGAACAUUAUUUCUGAGACCUGGCAUUUGUGUACUUUUCUGGAUCCAGAUUAUGCUUGACACGGGCAGCCGGAGUCACUACCUCUUAUAUGACCAAAUCCGUAUGCCACUAUUGAUUUGCAUAUCGCAGCAGACACAAAACACUUGCAGGCUAAAAUAAUAGGCCAAGCCUAGGACUUGGCCUUUUGGUCAUACGAUGUUGCAAAGCUGAGCAACAUCACUUCUUUUAAUUAGUUUAUCAAGAUCCAGCUAUUUCUUUCCUGACCCUUUGGGAUUAGAAUUUUAGCCACUGCAAACCUUCUGCAUUCCUCUGAUUAGUUAGUGCUGGGCGAAAUUUAAAAAGUUCUCUCACAGAUUUUAUUUUGGUUUGCAUGUGCUUUGCCCCUCGGAUCUUGUGACCAUGAUGUGGGUAAGCUCAAGGUUCAUCUGGUGUUUCCCAGUAGAGUAGCUGGGCUGCCUCAUGCAUUCAGGUUGCCCCCUCAGUUCUUCUGUUAGCUGCUCUUAGAUAAGGCCUUCAAGCCUCAAGUAUCUCUCUCACACACUGAGUCCAUCUGUUUGUUUUCCUGAGGUGCAGAUAGUUGACAUCUGCUUUAGGUCAGAUCAGUCCAAACAACAAGCAAGGUUUAUGCCCUGGAGGCGUUUUGUUUGUGUGAGAUUGUUGGUGUUGAAUUCUUAGCUGCACCAUUUCCUUUCUCCGGCAGAAUGGUGCACAAGUUGCAGUGAAUUUGUUGUUGAUGUUCUGAUGCCUUGAUGGUGUGGAGCUCCUGCUCAAUGCCAAGGCGCUGCAGAUGUCUAAUUCAGGACAGACAAAGUGGGAGAUCUGCAGCCCUGCCUGGUGGCUACAGCAUCCCCCAUCAACACUUAGGGCACUGUAGUGAUCUGAAAGGAAGACUUUAUUUCCGAGCUGCGGGUACUGCCAGCUGUGGCCAUUGAUGCUGCGAGCGGCGACGAUGGUGCGGCGGGGCCAAAGGUGCUGCCAGGGACAGGAAACGGUGCUGCAAGGGACAUGCGACAGUGCUGCUAAAGACGGCCAGGGAUACUACGAGAAGCAGCAGAAAGUACGAUUGGGUGGAGGAGUCAAGUGCGGAUCAGCUGACUAUGAGAGACUCGAUUUUACUGCAGAAGGCGGAGGAAUUGGGUUUACGAUCCCCUGAAAGACGCCAUCCAUUAAUAUUGUGAGAUUGUUCCUAUUCACAACGAGACCAAUGAUGGUCAGUUAUCUGGGUGUGAAGUUUAGCUGGCUUGUUGAAAAUCAUUAUGACAGUUCUGAUGCACCCUUUUGCUCGCUUAGAGCUGGUGUUGAUCCUUAACAACUGAUGUUAUAUUUAGUGCUAAACGAUAUGUAAUCUAAAUACAUGUUUUUUUCGCUUAUGAAACUGAAUGUGAAAACAUUUUCUUAUUUAGUACUAUUUUUCUCUGCCUAGAGCUUCUAAUUUAUGGCCGAUGUCAGUUCCAUAUAUUUAGGUGCUUGUGAUUUGUUAAACUAUGUAUUCAAUCUUAAUAUGAACUAAUGAGCAAUGCAAUUAAUGCAUGUGAUUA
This is a non-coding RNA of Lolium perenne, 2017 nucleotides long. Lineage: Eukaryota; Viridiplantae; Streptophyta; Magnoliopsida; Poales; Poaceae. The record is from RefSeq and is a predicted model, not a curated record.